This 660-nucleotide ribosomal RNA is filed under the name uncultured bacterium. RNAcentral's name for it is "bacterial SSU rRNA". It matches the Rfam family "Bacterial small subunit ribosomal RNA", at positions 193 to 851 of the family's 1533-position model. The record is from RNAcentral.
CGGAGGCAGGAAAGGCUUCGGCCGGACAGGGAUGGGCAUGCGGCGCAUUAGGCAGUAGGCGGGGUAACGGCCCACCUAACCGACGAUGCGUAGGGGUUCUGAGAGGAAGGUCCCCCACACUGGUACUGAGACACGGACCAGACUCCUACGGGAGGCAGCAGUGAGGAAUAUUGGUCAAUGGUCGGGAGACUGAACCAGCCAAGCCGCGUGAGGGAGGAAGGUACAGAGUAUCGUAAACCUCUUUUGUCAGGGAACAAAGACUGGGACGCGUCCCCGGAUGAGUGUACCUGAAGAAAAAGCAUCGGCUAACUCCGUGCCAGCAGCCGCGGUAAUACGGAGGAUGCGAGCGUUAUCCGGAUUUAUUGGGUUUAAAGGGUGCGCAGGCGGUCUGUUAAGUCAGCGGUCAAAGCCCGGGGCUCAACCCCGGCCCGCCGUUGAAACUGGCAGUCUCGAGUUGGAGAGAAGUAUGCGGAAUGCGCGGUGUAGCGGUGAAAUGCAUAGAUAUCGCGCAGAACUCCGAUUGCGAAGGCAGCAUGCCGGCUCCACACUGACGCUGAGGCACGAAAGCGUGGGUAUCGAACAGGAUUAGAUACCCUGGUAGUCCACGCAGUAAACGAUGAAUGCUGGCUGUCCGGGGGGACUGACCCCUGGGUGGCGAAG